Triticum dicoccoides is the source of this 1735-nucleotide long non-coding RNA. RefSeq lists it as uncharacterized. The transcript is spliced from 4 exons. NCBI's taxonomy places the organism in Eukaryota, Viridiplantae, Streptophyta, Magnoliopsida, Poales, Poaceae. The record is from RefSeq and is a predicted model, not a curated record.
AUCAUCUGUUUCUCUCCUUCACCACUCUCCCCGGUCAACCCAUCAAGCACAUGACGGCGGGGAUCCAUCUCUGCCCGUGGCGCUCCUCUGGUACAAACGCCAUCCCGGCAGCGGCCGACCCGCCCCUGUCCCCUGCUCACCCGCCCCUGCCGCAGGGGCCGCGCCCGCCUCUGCCCUGCCGCCGCUGGUUACCUCCCCUCCUCCGCCGCCCCUUCCAUUGUCAUUGCUGGCCUCCGAAAAACCCUGCUUCGUCCGUUGAUGCGCGCAGAUUGAAGACAAGGAGAGGAGGCUACUGCAUCCAGUGGUGGCCUAUGCUGGUGGGCGAAAUCAGACCGGCCGUUGGGUCUCUUCUGGAAGGAGGCUCUGCAAGACUGCAAUGGUGGCUUUUUUUUUGGCAGUUGACAUAUACCGCGGCAAUGGUGGCCUUUUUUUGGGCAAGAUAGCCUCCUGCAUCUGUGGAGGAAAUUCUGCUCCUUUCCGUAGGUGAUGGAUAUGCAGGCAACAAAGUCAAACUUUUAAAUACCGCAGCGGAAUCUCUGGAGUUCAAGGUUCUGUACUGUUCUUCUGUAUUUUUCUUUCUUGCUUAAUUUUUUGAGCAAAUCUUUCUUUCUUAUAUACACAACAGGUAAUAUGAACCACACACACAACCCACUAUCAGGCCCACUGCAGCCCGGUGCUCCCAUCAGCCCACACUAUUUAUCUUCCCCGGUUGCCAUCAAUGGCCGAUGGAACAACCUGCCUCUUUUGUUUCUCAAUUUUUUUAAAAUAAAUCUAUAGCCUCUGUUGCAGUAAUUACCCAGUAAUUGACGUUUGGUGCUCCCUCUCCUAAUAAUAUCUAAGAUGGCGCUCCACUUCCUCUCCCCACGUUCUCCCCAAGUAACUGACAGAUUUUUGCUUAAAAUCUGUGUUCUGCCUCACCAUAUUUCCCAUCGUCCUCCAGCUUGGGUAGGUGUUCAAGUCGCCUUCCCCAAUGCCAAUCUCCAAUCUGGUAUCCCUCGGUGCAAAGGUGCUAAAAGUCCUGUCAGCAGGGGCUAUUAGUUUUUCGUUGCUGCAAAGUUGAUGAUUUUUCACUGUUGCACAGAACUCUUGCUGAUCGAAUUGAUCCCAUCUGCUGUCUCGGUGCAAAUAUGCUGGAGGAUUUCCACCGACCACAAGGAUCUAGAACGAUUUGAUAUCUAUGCAGCAAUUGAUUAUUAAGAAGAUGCUCCGCAGCAUAUGUACAAACAUAUACAACAUUCUCUGUGUGAGGACAAUCCUUCAGCUCUGAUCGCCGGCCCGCUGGCCUCCGGUGGCUCUCCAGCUCCCACACGACCGCCAGCCCGCAUUACCUUCGAUGGCUUUACGGGAUAUCUCAUGAUGUAGUCGCAUUACCGGUGAACCGGCUCUGACCGUCAGCCCCCUUGCUUCAAUGACUCUCCCGGUCUGGCAUGUCUGCUGGUGCACCUUGCCCAUGGUGCUGCUUUGUCUUUCUUAUACUCUCCUAAUGUCUCAGUUCGGGCGCAGCUGGGAGGUUUGGUUCUGCCGGGAGUCCCGAGCUAGCUUUACUGAAUCACAACUGAUGUAACAUGCACACUAUGCACUUGCCUUACUUGAAACAUCUCAUGUCAAUCCAUUGUGCAGCGUGGAUGACUGUUUUAUAUGCAGAUUUAUUUUCUUUAUUGCAUAUGUAUGCAUCAUACAUAAUUAUGUAGAUCAUGAAGGGCCAUCAAGCAAACAUUUAUGUUUUGUGUCCGUA